This 253-nucleotide ribosomal RNA is filed under the name uncultured bacterium. Its description in RNAcentral is "partial 16S ribosomal RNA". It matches the Rfam family "Bacterial small subunit ribosomal RNA", at positions 524 to 776 of the family's 1533-position model. The record is from RNAcentral.
UACGGGGGGGGUAAGCGUUGUUCGGAAUUACUGGGCGUAAAGGGCGCGUAGGCGGUACUUCAAGUCAGGCGUGAAAGCCCCGGGCUCAACCUGGGAACCGCGCUUGAGACUGGAGAACUAGAGUUCGGGAGAGGAUGGUGGAAUUCCCAGUGUAGAGGUGAAAUUCGUAGAAAUUGGGAAGAACACCGAUGGCGAAGGCAGCCAUCUGGACCGACACUGACGCUGAGGCGCGAAAGCGUGGGGAGCAAACAGG